AUGGCUGAAAAGGGGAAGGACACAAGGGAAGGCGGGUCGUCUGGCGGCGGCGGCGGCGGGGAUGGAGAUCGUUUUGAGGUGAAUCUGGAGAGCAAGUUCGAGGGCCUGAAUUUGCAUGGGGAAGAGGAGGAGGAGUUGGAUCUGUCCGGGGAGGUGGAGGAACUAUUGGAGGAAAUCAGAUGGAUUGGUGUUUUUAGGGUUCAUACACAGAGGCCGUUCUCGCAUGUCGCUCUGUUUAAGGACAUGCGCAAUGCUUGGGCGUCCGCCAAGGAUGUGAUCUUCAAAACUAUGGGUGAUAACCGAUUCCUUGUGCAAUUUUUGUGCCUUGGGGAUUGGAACAGAGUUAUGAACGGUGGUCCGUGGUUGUUCCGUCGAGAUGCAGUGGUGAUUGAAGAAUAUGAUGGGCUAACUAAUGUCCAUGAGUAUAAACUAGAUCGUAUUCCAGUUUGUGCAAGGAUCAUGGGGAUCCCUGAUGGACUUAUGCAGAAGUCUAGUUUGGCUGAGAAGAUCGCUAAAAAAGUGGGAGGGAACCCCAUUAAGGUGUUUGUGAGUGAAGGACGCCUGAAUCCGGCUAAGUAUCUUCGAGCGCGCGUCUUUGUUAAUCUGGAAACCCCAUUAGUCCGCUUUGUCCCACUAACGCUGAAGGAAAGCAAAAGAUACCCUGUUGAAUAUGAGAAACUCCCAAAGUUUUAUCACUUUUGUGGUCUUAUUGGACAUGAAGUUACAGAGUGCGGGGAUGGUGUUCAUAACCCAGAGGACUGCGAUUGGGGUGACUGGUUGUUGGUGCAGUAUGAUAACUCAAAUAAUAAUGGACAGGGAGUACCCCGUGGGGGAGGGAAUAUGCGUUCAGGAGGAGUACCUGGAGGUAAUAGGAGUGAUCUCAAAGACCAUGGGAGCCAGGAGCCAAUGAAUCUGGAUCCUGGUAGCAUGAUUGCCCCCAUGGCUCGUAAGCGCCUGAUAAAUGGGGAUGAUACAGCGAGUACAAAUCCGGGAGGAGCUGUGGCACCACCACCCGGGUUUGUUAAUAAUAAGGUGAACUUGAUUGAGUACGGCAGUGUGGAAGCGGUUGAUAAAAGUAAAGUGAGUACACCUGAGAAAGUUCAAGUGCAGAAGAGGCUGAAGUUUGCUGGGACUGAAUCCAGCUCAUCAGAGAACACAUCGGCGACCUCCCACGAGGAGGAUCGCCGCCAACAAUGA
Molecule: ribosomal RNA, 1197 nt
Filed under: Triticum aestivum (bread wheat)
Lineage: Eukaryota; Viridiplantae; Streptophyta; Magnoliopsida; Poales; Poaceae
Description: partial small subunit ribosomal RNA
Source: RNAcentral